RNAcentral lists this ribosomal RNA (253 nucleotides) under uncultured bacterium. RNAcentral describes it as "partial 16S ribosomal RNA". It matches the Rfam family "Bacterial small subunit ribosomal RNA", at positions 524 to 776 of the family's 1533-position model. The record is from RNAcentral.
UACGAAGGGGGCUAGCGUUGCUCGGAAUCACUGGGCGUAAAGCGCACGUAGGCGGCUUAUUAAGUCAGGGGUGAAAUCCUGGAGCUCAACUCCAGAACUGCCUUUGAUACUGAUGAGCUUGAGUCCGGGAGAGGUGAGUGGAACUGCGAGUGUAGAGGUGAAAUGCGUAGAUAUCAGGAGGAACACCGGUGGCGAAGGCGGGUCUCUGGGCCGAUACUGACGCUGAGGAGCGAAAGCGUGGGGAGCGAACAGG